This 73-nucleotide transfer RNA is filed under the name Tupanvirus deep ocean. RNAcentral's name for it is "tRNA-Val". It matches the Rfam family "tRNA". From Rfam's summary of the family: Transfer RNA (tRNA) molecules are approximately 80 nucleotides in length. The record is from RNAcentral. Lineage: Varidnaviria; Bamfordvirae; Nucleocytoviricota; Megaviricetes; Imitervirales; Mimiviridae. RNAcentral also lists the same sequence under 1 other name.
GCCUGGUUCGUACAACGGUUAGUACAUCGCUUUAACACGGCGAAAACAUGAGUUCGACUCUCAUACCAGGUAC